UANANAUGCAGUCGNCGGUAGCAGGAAGGAAGCUUGCUUUCUUUGCUGACGAGUGGCGGACGGGUGAGUAAUNCUUGGGAAUCUGGCUUAUGGAGGGGGAUAACUGCGGGAAACUGCAGCUAAUACCGCGUAAAGUCUUUGGACUAAAGGGGGCGUUUGCUCUUGCCAUAAGAUGAGCCCAAGUGGGAUUAGGUAGUUGGUGGGGUAAUGGCUCACCAAGCCGUCGAUCUCUAGCUGGUCUGAGAGGAUGACCAGCCACACCGGGACUGAGACACGGCCCGGACUCCUACGGGAGGCAGCAGUGGGGAAUAUUGCGCAAUGGGGGAAACCCUGACGCAGCCAUGCCGCGUGAAUGAAGAAGGCCUUCGGGUUGUAAAGUUCUUUCGGUGAUGAGGAAGGCAGUUUGGUUAAUAGCCAAGCUGAUUGACGUUAGUCACAGAAGAAGCACCGGCUAACUCCGUGCCAGCAGCCGCGGUAAUACGGAGGGUGCGAGCGUUAAUCGGAAUAACUGGGCGUAAAGGGCACGCAGGCGGAUUUUUAAGUGAGGUGUGAAAGCCCCGGGCUUAACCUGGGAAUUGCAUUUCAGACUGGGAAUCUAGAGUACUUUAGGGAGGGGUAGAAUUCCACGUGUAGCGGUGAAAUGCGUAGAGAUGUGGAGGAAUACCGAAGGCGAAGGCAGCCCCUUGGGAAUGUACUGACGCUCAUGUGCGAAAGCGUGGGGAGCAAACAGGAUUAGAUACCCUGGUAGUCCACGCUGUAAACGCUGUCGAUUUGGGGGUUGGGGUUUAACUCUGGCGCCCGUAGCUAACGUGAUAAAUCGACCGCCUGGGGAGUACGGCCGCAAGGUUAAAACUCAAAUGAAUUGACGGGGGCCCGCACAAGCGGUGGAGCAUGUGGUUUAAUUCGAUGCAACGCGAAGAACCUUACCUACUCUUGACAUCCAGAGAAUCCUGUAGAGAUACGGGAGUGCCUUCGGGAGCUUUGAGACAGGUGCUGCAUGGCUGUCGUCAGCUCGUGUUGUGAAAUGUUGGGUUAAGUCCCGCAACGAGCGCAACCCUUAUCCUUUGUUGCCAGCGAUUAGGUCGGGAACUCAAGGAGACUGCCGUGUAACCGAGAGAGGGGGGGGGGNAGAANUAAUA
Molecule: ribosomal RNA, 1139 nt
Rfam family: Bacterial small subunit ribosomal RNA